Molecule: ribosomal RNA, 500 nt
Filed under: uncultured bacterium
Lineage: Bacteria
Description: partial 16S ribosomal RNA
Rfam family: Bacterial small subunit ribosomal RNA
Source: RNAcentral
AUUGAACGCUGGCGGCAUGCCUUACACAUGCAAGUCGAACGGCAGCACGGGAGCAAUCCUGGUGGCGAGUGGCGAAUGGGUGAGUAAUAUAUCGGAACGUGCCCAGUCGUGGGGGAUAACGCAGCGAAAGCUGUGCUAAUACCGCAUACGAUCUACGGAUGAAAGCGGGGGAUCGCAAGACCUCGCGCGAUUGGAGCGGCCGAUAUCAGAUUAGCUAGUUGGUGGGGUAAAGGCCUACCAAGGCGACGAUCUGUAGCCGGUCUGAGAGGACGACCAGCCACACUGGAACUGAGACACGGCCCAGACUCCUACGGGAGGCAGCAGUGGGGAAUUUUGGACAAUGGGCGCAAGCCUGAUCCAGCAAUGCCGCGUGCAGGAAGAAGGCCUUCGGGUCGUAAACUGCUUUUGUACGGAACGAAAAGGUUUGGGUUAAUACCCUGGGCCGAUGACGGUACCGUAAGAAUAAGCACCGGCUAACUACGUGCCAGCAGCCGCCGCAG